Pelobates cultripes (western spadefoot toad) is the source of this 274-nucleotide non-coding RNA. Lineage: Eukaryota; Metazoa; Chordata; Amphibia; Anura; Pelobatidae. The record is from the annotation of a GenBank genome assembly.
UGGCUGCGGCCAGAAGGCCCAAGGUUUUCAGGUGUAAUUUCUAGGAUUAGAGAAAGUAAACUAAUGGAUGACUUGACAGCCAGAGUUCAGGGGACCGCGGCAGCUUUCCAGAGAAUUUGGGAACCAUGGGACAAUAGCGUAGUGGGCACGGGAGGAGACUGAGGGCGACCUUUUGGAGAUGAGGGAGACUUUAGUAGGACAGGCCCAGAGGCCUACUGGUGAUGGGAAGUGGUGCGGCUCCCUUGUCGUCCCCUCCCCCUCCACCCUCUCCUCC